RNAcentral lists this unclassified non-coding RNA (1134 nucleotides) under Hevea brasiliensis (rubber tree). Lineage: Eukaryota; Viridiplantae; Streptophyta; Magnoliopsida; Malpighiales; Euphorbiaceae. The record is from RNAcentral.
ACUCUUCACUAUGCUUAUUCCUGUCACAGUACAGUACAGCACUACAGCAGGUUAACAAAAAAUUCAGGGCCAAUCCUUGACCUUUUGAUAGUUUCAGAAGCUCAAAAGGUGAUUCAUUACUGGUUGAAUACUAGGCUGAAAUCAAGAUUAAAUUAUUUAUUUUCUAGAUUUAACCGGAAAGUUGCAAAAAGCAUCAGAUUUUGCAUAUCUGCUUCCAUGAGUUGAUUAAUUGUGAUGACCUCAAAUUGACAAGCCUAAUCAUCUAAAAGGAUUCAGAGCUUUGAUUUAUGGAAUGUGUAACAUCCUUCCAAUAAUGCCCUGGGAUUAUGGGUGUCGAUCAGUUAGUUCAGUUUGAUUUCGUUUGAAAUCAAGCAACAUUGAAAUAAUCAAAAUUCUUCAGAGUAUAAAUCUGAAUUGAAACGCUUUGCAGAUUCAGUAUUCUUUCAGUUAAAAAUAGAACACACUAGAACAACAACAUGAAAUUAAAAUAUAUUUAAAGUUUAAUACAGAGAAGUGACAUGAAAUCAAAUCAUCAAUAAAUUGAUAAAGAAAUCAAAACCCACACAAAUUUUCAGUAAAAAAGAAUUCAAAACUGAUAGUUAUAAAUUAAUGUCAGUAAGAACCAAAAAAAAGGGUUUUUGGACAGACCAAGGGAGAUUGAGGAUGAGAAUCGAAUAUGGGAAAUUGAGAAUUCAUGGCGAUAGAGCUUAAAGACAAACACGACCUCUUAUUGUUAGAAAGGGGACGACCGGAGGAGCAACUGUGAAGGAAUAAGAGAGUGAGAACAAUUGCGAGUAAGAAAGCCUGAGAGUGAGCAACAGAAGGAACAGCUGAGGUUUCUUCUUUCUUUAAAACGGAGUCCGCAGAAAGUCGUAUUAGAGAGUCCGUAGAACGAUGAUCAACAUUAGGAUUAAGGAGAAAAAAAAAAGUCGUAUUAGAAAGUCCGCAGAACGAUGGUAUGUCAUACAUUUCUACGUUAGGAUCAAGGAGAAAAAAAGCCACCGACAUCCAAUCCAACUAAUAACAGAAGUCCAAAUAAAAGAACGAAUCAGAGCAUCAGCAAAUUAAAAAAAAAAUGCUAGUAUCGGAAGAGCAGACAGAAAAGAUGCCAAAAAAAAUGAUGGCAAAAUAAAA